AGAGGCCGGACCUGGGCAACCCCAGCCUGGAGGUGCCGGGGCCGGAGCUCCCAGAGGGCUGGGUGCGAGGCCUAGGCGGGGUCAGGUUCGGGUUCCUAGGCCAUAGCGGAGCUGCAGCCCAGGCGGCCGGAGCGGAACCCAGCCCCGCUCCGAGUGCCACGUCUCCAGGAACCCCCUCCUUACUCUUGGACAACACUCCGCCCCCGCCCGGGCCUCCGUCCCCCAAACCGCCCUCAUUUGUGCAGCGCCAGAUCCUUCGGACACAUCCCUAGGUGUCUCCAUCCUCAUCCGAUCCAUCCAACUCCCAGACACCACGUCUCCAACCGGCUGCACCCCACUCUCCAGCCUGCGCCCCAGAUGCAGCCUUCGCCCCUAGAUACACCCGCCUGGUGAUGAGGCGCUCUUCCCGUUCCUUCCGGCACGUGGCACACGUUCCACAAAUAUUUGUUGAAAGGGAGGGUAAAUGGCCUUGAGUUUCUGUGGCUACCAUUGGCUGAGGAUGGAGCUUUGGGCUGGACAAAGAAGAAUCUGGUUGACCACAUGAAGCAGGAA
This 552-nucleotide non-coding RNA is filed under the name Pongo abelii (Sumatran orangutan). Lineage: Eukaryota; Metazoa; Chordata; Mammalia; Primates; Hominidae. The record is from RNAcentral.